CAUAAAAGCUUUCAGUACUUUCCUUCUGCAACCUUUUUUCUCUUUCUCUUUAAGUUUUUCCUUGCUGCUUGAAUUUGUUCAUCUUCUUUUCGUAGCAUCACCUUCGUAUGGGGAAAUCUAAGAAGAAAUUUCCUCGCUGAUUGAAGAAAAUGUAGAAUUUGUUUCGUUUAUCUCCAUCUCAUACUGUUCACUGUGAGUUCUAUCUCUUACCACCGUUCGAUCAUCUCCGUCUCACUGUUUUUCGUUGUUGUUCUUCCUCUCACCAUCGUUCGAGUAGUUGCAUCUAUUGUUUGCUCCUAUAAUCGAGCUCAUGGGGUCGUUCAAUCUAUUCACGGUGUCGGCUGAUGUUCAAGGUUUCAAUCUUCCACUCCAAAUCUGAAUUUGGUUGGGGCCUUUGAUUCAAUUAAUCAAAACAGGACAAUGAGACCUGAUAAAGGAUGGAUGUUGCGAAGAAAAGAUCAAUUUGGUAGUAUAACUGAGGAAUUUAGAAAUGGCGUUGAUGGCUUCAUUCAAGUAGCUAAAAGAGAUCCAAAAUUUGCUUUGACGUGUUUUAUCCCUCUCUAAUUAGCUACCUAUAUUUAGCUACGGAAAAUUCCCUAGCAAAUUGAUAGUUAAUCUGUCGCAAAAUGGUUUAGCUACGGAUUAGCUACGGAUCAGCUACGAAAUUGUCCGUAGCUAAUAUAUAAAAUUUUGUAGUGGAAUGCAUCUGAUGCUCCAUUGCAGCAAUCAGAAGAUGGAUUAGCUACAUUAUUUAUCAAAUACAAUCCACAAUAGCUCAAUAGCUUUUCAUCCCCAUUGCAUAUUGCAGGAAUUUGACCAUAACUCAAUCUUGUUACUGCCAAACCAUACACCAUAACAAACAUCAAAACACCAAAAACUUUUUUCUCUCCCAUCUUCUCUUCAAUCUCUAUGUCAAUGCCACUUUUCUUUUCAAUUUUAUUUUGAUUUCAUUUACCAUUUCUACCAUACCAUUGCUUAUAUAUACACUUGUAGUAUUUAUUUCUAGAAUAACUUCCCAUCCUUCUGCAAUCUUUUUCAAUCUUUUCCAUAAAAAGUAUUAAAUAUCAAUAUCAAAUAUAAUAUAGAUUAUUGUAUUAUUUGGAGUUAAUGUGAAUAUCAAUCAUAAUCAAUUGGACAACAUUAUAUGCUAUAAAAAAUAACAUCUCCUAAAACUAUCUUUGUAAGUUAUCGAUAAUAUUUAAUUAUAUUUUAUUCUAAUAAGUUAUUAACUUCGAGAGUGGAGGAAGUGAUUUUUUUAGUUAUUAUACAUGAUAAUUCAUAAGAAGAGGAACUUUUUCUUCUCUUUUAUCGGUUUUUGUACUCAUUUUUCUAUCAUGUAAUAAAAUAAGAACUAUGUCCGUCUGUAUUUAUUGUUUCUUAGAAAAAAAAAUUAUCGACUUUUAUAAAUUUUUCAAUAAAUAAGGAUUUCAAAUCAAAUCAUAUUGAGAUUUGAUCAGCUCAAAACUCAAACUAAACAAAACAUGAUAAUACAUACAAAAAUUACCAUACG
Vigna unguiculata (cowpea) is the source of this 1510-nucleotide long non-coding RNA. NCBI's taxonomy places the organism in Eukaryota, Viridiplantae, Streptophyta, Magnoliopsida, Fabales, Fabaceae. The record is from RefSeq and is a predicted model, not a curated record.